CGCGGGCAAGGGCCUGAUACUUCUCGGUUAAACUCGGAAGUUCAACUUCUAAUCGCGAUGGUAGCUGCAAAGCUGAGAGGCGAAGAGGGGAAGGGGAAUUCCCGCGUAGCGGUGAGAUGCGUAGAGAAGUGGAGAACGCCAGUCUGCGAAGGCGGCCUUUGGGGUGGAACUGGCGCUGAGGCCGGGAAGAGUGGAGGAACCAACAGGAUUAGAUAGUCCUGGUAGUUCCACGCGUAUAACGAUGAAUGCUAGGUGGUAAGAGUUUCGAUACCCUUGGUACCGAAGUUAACACAUUAAGCAUUUCGCCUGGGGAGKUCGGUUGCCAGAAUGAAAAUCAAAGGAAUUGGCGGGGACCCGCCCCAGCCAUGGAGUAUGUGGUUUAAUUUGAAACAACSGGAAGAACCUUUCCCGGUUUUGACAUUCCUUUGACCGUCCUAGAGAUAGGGGUUUCCUUUGGGACAGAAGAGACAGGUGGUGCAUGGUUGUUGUCAACUUGUGUUGUGAGAAUGUGGGUUAAGUUCCGCAACGAGCGCCACCCUUGAUUUUAAUUGCCCACCCUUUAAGGUGGGCACUYUAGGAUGACUGCCGGUGACAAACCGGAGGAAGGUGGGGAUGACGUCAAAUCAUCAUGCCCCUUAUGACCUGGGCUACACACGUACUACAAUGGCCGAUACAACGGGAAGCGAAACCGCGAGGUGGAGCCAAUCCUAUCAAAGUCGGUCUCAGUUCGGAUUGCAGGCUGCAACUCGCCUGCAUGAAGUCGGAAUUGCUAGUAAUCGCGGAUCAGCAUGCCGCGGGGAAUACGUUCCCGGGUCUUGUACACACCGCCCGUCACACCACGAGAGUUUACAACACCCGAAGCCGGUGGGGUAACCGCAAGGAGCCAGCCGUCGAAAGGGGUGGCC
RNAcentral lists this ribosomal RNA (905 nucleotides) under Paenibacillus sp. HF1. RNAcentral's name for it is "bacterial SSU rRNA". It matches the Rfam family "Bacterial small subunit ribosomal RNA", at positions 570 to 1469 of the family's 1533-position model. Lineage: Bacteria; Bacillati; Bacillota; Bacilli; Caryophanales; Paenibacillaceae. The record is from RNAcentral.